Long non-coding RNA from Scatophagus argus, 4902 nucleotides. RefSeq lists it as uncharacterized. The record is from RefSeq and is a predicted model, not a curated record. The transcript is spliced from 3 exons. Lineage: Eukaryota; Metazoa; Chordata; Actinopteri; Scatophagidae.
GUCACUGUGAGGAAUAAACAAGCGGAGGAAUGUAAUCUUUAUUUUGACCAGAUGUCAGCUGACUUCCUCAGUCUCUGUGAGUUCUUUGCAGCAGUUAAUUUGAAAGCGCUGCGUUUCCUGCAUGUCUCGUGUGUUGGUUUGACUGUUUAUCCGCAGUGCUUGUAGGAGAAUUACUUUACAGCAGGUUGAUACUUCCAGCUGAGAGUGAAAAGUGUGGACAGCCAUUUGGACCACACAGCCAUUUGGCCCACACAGCCAUGUUUUCCACAGCCUGUAUUAACAUCGUGAUGGCGGUAGCUAUGUCUUCGUUUAUAGCGGUGUCUGCUGUGUUGUGUGUGGUCCCUCCUGAGGAUCGUUUGGUGCUGUGCGCCCUCUGCCCUCGCCGUCGGACGUGCCUGCAUAGUGCGCAGGGUGUGCGUGAGUCUUCUUCACCCGGCACUGAGGCCAUAGUUAGCGCCUUUCCUUCUCCUCUGGCGCUCCGCGGGGGUUGCAUGCUCCGCCAGUGACAUGGUCCACCAGCUGAGCGUUCUGUAAGACAGCGACUCGCCGUCUCCAGCCCCGGUGCAGUCGCUCCGUCUCUUCUCCGUUUCUGAGGACUGGUAGUGUUGGAAGCAGUUCCUACCGAUGCCGUGAUGUGAUGCAGUUUCGGGUCCCUCACUCCACUACCACUCCCGUACCACUCUGAUUGAUUUUGUUUUUUUUAUUUAGUUCAUCGUUCUUCCCUUAUGUUGAAUUUGUUGAUUGUAAAUUGUUUCUGUGGUUGUUUAUUUAGUUGGGGGUUAAGCUUGUGUUAUUCUCAGUUUGUUCUUUUUUUUGUUUGUUUGUUUGUAUAUUUGUUUAUUUUGUUCUAAUUAAUGAUUUAGUUGGCCAGUGGGGUUCUUCUUAUUUUGUGGUUUGGUGUGGGUGUGAGUGUAUUGUAUUUUUCUGUCCGCCUGAGUGUCCCCUCUUUUUCAUAUGCAGUGUUAUAAUUUGGUUUGUUUCUUUUUCAGGGCAGGAGUGGAGCGGCAGACAUCCCUUGUGGUGGUUUUCCCUUCACUCCUUAUCUUCAGAGCUCAACGUGUAUUGAAAUACAACCCGAUUGAAGCCUGGGAAAAAGUGCUGAAGUAUUCCCAGAGCAGCUUCCUUCCUCAGGCUGUGUGACUACUCAACUCAUCCUCCACCCUUCAGCUCUGAAAAGUUGUGUGUGGUUAUUCAUUUAUCAGUCGAUAGAUGCUAUGCUGGAUGUGCAGCGUGGUGAACUGUAAUUUCAGCAUUGUUAUACAGUGACUCAGGAAGUUGUUUUUGUGCAACUGUUGCUGUCAUUGCUAUCACAGGGUUGCACAAGUGUGCUGUUAUUAAUGCUGUAAUAAUGUCUUGUCUGUCAGAUUUAUUAAGGAAGUGACACUCACUCACACGGUUUUACUCAUCGGUCAUGAAUACAUCAACAGCCGAACUGUGUGCAUAACCGAGCACGUACAGGUUUGACAGUUUUAAUCUCCCUGAUCUAACAUUUUAAAUGUCACCUGUGAGAGACUAGAAUAUUAAAUCACAUAAUGUUGUAAUGAAGCCCAAUUCCCAGUGUAUACAUGGCAUUCAGAUUGUAUCUGAUCCUUCCUGUUAGUCAUUUUUGCAAGUUUCUAGUAGUGAAUUAAGCAAAAGGACGACACAGACCAUGACCAUGCAAAUAAGUCAAAGCUUGUCAGAUGGGGGACUUUUAAUAACUCAGUGAGUGUCUUUUCUUCACAGAUGCUCAGGCUUUUAGUUAAGGUCUAUUAAUUUAAGGUUAAUUUCUCCCUGUGGUUUUGUGUGGUUGAAGGUGUGUCUCUGUACUGCAUUUGAUGUUCAUUUACAAACUUUUCAUGCUUUGCUGUGGGUGAUUUAUGGUAUUUAAUUGAGUUGUGGAUUUCCUCCUGUGAAACUGUGCUACCAACACACAUAGUGCACGAGUGGCAUGUGAGUGGGUGGAUACAGACAUUCACUGCCUGUGGUUUACCAUCAAUGAGAUUCAUUUGCAUCUCUCUCUUUCGCAUCAUACUAUUUCUUGAAACUGCCUUUUCUCCAAAUUACUGUCACUGUGUUUUCAUCUAUCAGCGCUGUGUCCGUUGUUGACUGUUUUCACCACCUCUGGUGAACUUUUUCCAGUAACGUUGCAUCGAAAGAGCAACAAGACCCAAGCAGCAACAGAGUGGAUAGUCGUGUUGGAUAUUAUGAAAAAGGUUAAUGGAAAAAAAGGUUAAUUUUUAAAGGAAUUGUCCACCCAAAAUUGAAAAUUCAGUAAACGUCUGACUCCUGUUGUGAUAAAAAUCGGGAUUAAGCUUCUUAAUCCACAAUGUACAUCUGGAGCUUUACAGCAAAAGCUCCUUUCAGCAACACUAAAAAUGAUGGAAGAAGCUGGCAACUUGCUUUAAAAUGUAAAAUAAAUAACCAAAAGUUUUUUAAAAAAUAGAUCCAUACUGUUUGUCUGGUAGAAUCUAAGACUCCAGAAGUCCUGAGAUACCAAACUGAUUCAAGCACCUUAUUUACACUGCAUGUACCCUUUUGAGCUUGCUUACCCAUUUCAGAUGGGAGACGCUAAUGCUUUUAGAUUAGUGUGGCAGUGGCUACUUAGUGACUACAUUUACACCCUUUAUGACGUCCUCAGUAACAAGCUUCUUCUUCAGAAAUGCUGAGUCACACCUUGGCAGCAGAAUUCCUCUGAGAGCUUUGUUUUGUUUCAGGAAGCUGUGGUAUUUUCAUACACAGAUUACUGUGUACGCAAAGUGGGCACAUGCCCAGGGCCUCAGAGCCACCAGAGGCCUUUAGCCUUACGAUUCACUUCUGUUUUUAUGAAUGAAGUAUUAGGCUUUUAAAAGAUUGGAGUAAAUGGGAUUUUGAAUGUGCAGCAUCAUCAUGAAAUAUUGAAACACGUAAUGCUGUAAUGACGUGAGCUGUACGUUAAGUGUGAAAGAUGCCACUUUGUCCCAAUAAACACGUUGUCUUUUCACAUCAUCACCUGAACAUGCCUGCAUUGUGGGUGGUUUGAUGGAAAAUAAAGUGUGUGUUUUGGCUUCUGAAGAUAUAUGUACAUGGCAGGCAUACUGCUGUGCUGCCAAACUCCGUGUACUUAUGGAGGGCACACACAAUGCACCUGUACUACUUUUGUGUGUGUGUACAGAGGUGGGGGUAGAUGAUAAUCUGUGACAAUGUCCAUGGGUGUGUGUGAAUGUCUGCAUGUUGGGAGACACACACACAUACAGUAUCAGGUUUAUUGUGUCAGGAUUUCCUAUGAGGGGAAACAAUCACUCACUGCCAGGCAGCAGUGUGCAGGCAGCAGUGUGCUCUAUUGCAAUAUGAUCGCCAACCCUUGAGAUAAAGAUCUUGUAUUUAGGCUUCCUAUUACACUUGAUAAAUUGAGACAUUUAAGCAUUUAAGUGACCCCUGAUUAAUCGAUAUGCUUUGUCUUCAUUCCCAUACGCUGCAGCACAGUACACAUAACCAAGCACAGCUAAUAAAGUCCGAGAGUCUAAGAGACACCAGUUUCCUCAGUUUUUUACUUAGCUUACUUCUCUGGAAUUUGGGAUAAAAGUCAGUAAAAUGUCUUUUGUUUUAAGCACACUCAACAGUUGGGAUAUUCAUCACAAUAACUAUUUCACUUGGUGGUGACUGAGAUGUGUCUUACAGCUGAAACAAAUUACGGCCUUUAAGUUUAAAGUGCGUAUAUAUUUAUAGUUUUAGCUAUGUUACGGGCUCGCUGGUGUUUAUUUACGGUCUCCUUAUCAGUCUGCUGAAUUUGUAUCUGAUGAGAUAGCUUUUGUAGAGCGGCUGAGAAUGAAGAAUCAGCCAUCAGUCUAACACAGCACAAGCUUUGCAUUAAGGCCAUGUUGUAUUUCAGGAAGUCUGCACUACAUGAAAAAUGUUUUUGUUCUUUUCAUUUUGUGAUUUUGAAAAAGUCUGAAUGUAUGAAAGCCUGAACGACUGGGAGGGUAAACGCUGUUGUGCUCAUGUUCUGUGGCUGCUGCGAGGCAAACAGCUGCAGGACGUUUAUAGUGAACUUUAGUGUACUUGAAGGACGCCGCUGUCCUCGCUUUCGUACACGAUUAGCACACGAGAAUUUAGAGAAUUUCCCUUUUCCUGCGUACUGCAUCCGUCCACUCCCUCAAGUUACUGUUUCACAUUGUGAGGUUAAGCUGUGGUUUAACAAUCAGAUGAGUGUGAUUCAUCUCCUUAAUCUCCUGCUUUGUCAAAGUGACAGUCCUAUAAAUAGCUGAUACUGUGUUUACACACUUCGUAGCGCACUUCAGGCCUUUGAGAGGUUUGCAUAUUGAGGGAAAUGGACCUUGAAUUACCUCCUUGCACUUGUGUGCCACUCAAGUUACAGUUUACAUGCGUAUCUGCCCAGACUGUAGUGACUAAUGGAGAGCUUCAUCACGUGGUUCAACAACAAUCACCUGAAGCUCAAUAUCAUCUAAACCAGUGAGUUUAUGUGGACUGCAGUGAUUCAAGUGCGGCUGUUGCUGCAAAGAGGCUCCAAAAUCUUAAAUUAUGACACUUCAAACACAGCACAUAAGGUCCGUACAGUCAGCAUGGAUUCAAGUCAGACACACAAGAUUAGUGUCAUCAGUUCAUAUGUUCAUUCAUCAUCAGGUCUGACAAACAACCUUUCACGCUCUCAUUCACACCUGAAGGCAUUUUUGAGUCUGAAUGCUGGAACGCCCAAAGGCAAAACCCACCACCAGUAAUUCCUGACCAAAAGUGAAACAUGGUCACAAUCUGAGCUUCUGUUCCUGAGUUAUGAAUUAUGUGGUUUGCUGUGGUUUCAUUUCCUCCUCUAAAACCCCGUUUUGCAAACCUACGGCACAAAAAAGCCUGCUGAUGUGCCCUUGAGGAGGGCACUUGACCCCCAAUUUGCUCCCCGGGAGCUGGAUGCUGCCCACUGCUCCUGUG